CCUACGGGUGACAGCAGUGGGGAAUAUUGGGCAAUGGAGGAAACUCUGACCCAGCAACGCCGCGUGAAUGAUGAAGGUCUUCGGAUUGUAAAGUUCUUUUCUACGGGGAGAAGAAAGUGACGGUCCCUUAGGAAUGAGCCUCGCCUAACAACGUGCCAGCAGCCUCGCUAAUACGUAGGCGGCGAGCGUUAUCCGGAAUGACUGGGCGUAAAGGGUGCGUAGGUGGUUUGGCCAGUUAGUAGGGUAAUGCCAAGGCCUAACCUUGGAACUACUACUAAAACUGUUUGUCUCGAGUGCUGGAGGGGCAAGCGGAAUUCCUCGUGUAGCGGUGGAAUGCGUAGAUAUCAGGAGGAACACCAGUGGCGAAGGCGGGUUGCUAGACUGUCACUGACACUGAGGCACGAAAGCGUGGGGAGCAAACAGGAUUAGAUACCCCUGUAGUC
RNAcentral lists this ribosomal RNA (443 nucleotides) under uncultured bacterium. Its description in RNAcentral is "partial 16S ribosomal RNA". It matches the Rfam family "Bacterial small subunit ribosomal RNA", at positions 338 to 795 of the family's 1533-position model. The record is from RNAcentral.